AAUUAAGAAAUUAUUCUUUUGGGACUUGCAAACCAAGAGAUACGUAUAUUUUGAAAAAAGAUGCAUGUUAUGACUUUAUUCUUCAAAACGUGGCUCAAAAUACUUCUCAAGCUUGGUUUUAUGAUAGAAGUGUGGUUUGGGAAAAGGUAAUCAUAACUUACAAAAACAAAUAAGAAAAAAAGGUCAGGAAAAGGGACUGACAGGUACCCAAGGGCAGGGUGGGGUGGAGGGAGCAAGAAUUAGACCAGAGCGCAGCUCUAGCUAGAAACAGUGCCUCUCCCAAAGUGGGUCUGCCACUGUAGCCAACGCAGCGCUUCUGGAAAGCUCAUCUACAAAACUCCCAGGGCAGGGCGGGCAGGGCAGGGGUUGGCAAGACUCCUAAAGAACAACACAAAGGAGUAUAUUCUCAAGAGGUGAUGGUCUUGACGGGGAAAGUAGUGUCUCUUUUCCUCUUUCCAAGCUUCAAGCCUCCACUUUUUUCCUUCUGUCUCCACCUAGCCCCAGUACUGGGGACAAAUCAAGUUAAGGUCAAGCCAGCCGCCAAGGUUCACCGAGGACGCAGGCAGCAAGACUUUGUUUCUAGUUGCGGGGAUCUUCCCCUCGCGUGUAGUCUCCACGGCAAACUGCGCCCGACUCAGCCCGUUUCACCUCACUCCUGAGCACUCGGAGCCGGGUCGCGGGGCAGGAACAGCCGACCGCGGCGUGGGCACCCGAGGGGCGCACCCAGCUCUCGCCUUUCACUCGCGGGCUCCCCUGUCCCUCUGGCCGGCCGGGCCGCACCGGAGCCACCCUGCGCCCGCUUCUAGAUGGCGCCCGUCGCAUGCCGCGCCCGCUCUCCUCGCUGGCUGACCGCUUCUCGCUCGGAGUUCAAGAUUCCCGCCGCUACAAUCGCGCCACAGCCUCACCCCAUCUCGUCGUUUGUUUUUUUUAACUUUCUUUAGCGCUAAACUCCGUCGCUACAAAGCUCUGUUCUCAGUCGGCUCCGCCAGGGGGUUCAGCGAGGAACCCGAGGUCUGGAGACGCCCCGGCGGGGCGGGGCGGGGGCGGGGCGCAGCCACCUCCCUCACCGGGGAGCCCGGCUUGGCCCCACCCCAGCCGCUGCCAUCCUCGGGGUCGGUGCCAGGCAACUCAGCCGAGACGCGCUGGCUCGCGAUGGCGACCGGGAGACACCCGGCGAGGGGAGGCGGGGUCGGGGAGGCGCGGAGCGCACGGAGGCGGAGGCUGGCAGGGGGCGCUGGAGGCUGGGGCGGUCGGCGCGCUCUCCGCGCCCGAGGGAGCCAGAGGCUCUAAAGCGGCGGUUGGACCGGCGGCCCCCGGCGGCUGCUGGGCCGUGGGGGAGCGGCUCCUGAGCCCCUUUGUUCUCGCGCAAGGCGCCUCGCCGCCCACUCCCCUGCUGUCGCGCGGCGGCGGCGGCUCCUCUCGCGCGGGG
RNAcentral lists this long non-coding RNA (1429 nucleotides) under Heterocephalus glaber (naked mole-rat). RNAcentral's name for it is "lncRNA (ENSHGLG00100042221.1)". The record is from RNAcentral. Lineage: Eukaryota; Metazoa; Chordata; Mammalia; Rodentia; Bathyergidae.